UGCAGUCGAGCGGAACGAGUUAUCUGAACCUUCGGGGGACGAUAACGGCGUCGAGCGGCGGACGGGUGAGUAAUGCCUAGGAAAUUGCCCUGAUGUGGGGGAUAACCAUUGGAAACGAUGGCUAAUACCGCAUGAUGCCUACGGGCCAAAGAGGGGGACCUUCGGGCCUCUCGCGUCAGGAUAUGCCUAGGUGGGAUUAGCUAGUUGGUGAGGUAAGGGCUCACCAAGGCGACGAUCCCUAGCUGGUCUGAGAGGAUGAUCAGCCACACUGGAACUGAGACACGGUCCAGACUCCUACGGGAGGCAGCAGUGGGGAAUAUUGCACAAUGGGCGCAAGCCUGAUGCAGCCAUGCCGCGUGUGUGAAGAAGGCCUUCGGGUUGUAAAGCACUUUCAGUCGUGAGGAAGGUGGUGUAGUUAAUAGCUGCAUUAUUUGACGUUAGCGACAGAAGAAGCACCGGCUAACUCCGUGCCAGCAGCCGCGGUAAUACGGAGGGUGCGAGCGUUAAUCGGAAUUACUGGGCGUAAAGCGCAUGCAGGUGGUUUGUUAAGUCAGAUGUGAAAGCCCGGGGCUCAACCUCGGAAUAGCAUUUGAAACUGGCAGACUAGAGUACUGUAGAGGGGGGUAGAAUUUCAGGUGUAGCGGUGAAAUGCGUAGAGAUCUGAAGGAAUACCGGUGGCGAAGGCGGCCCCC
This 692-nucleotide ribosomal RNA is filed under the name Vibrio sp. RNAcentral describes it as "bacterial SSU rRNA". It matches the Rfam family "Bacterial small subunit ribosomal RNA", at positions 56 to 729 of the family's 1533-position model. The record is from RNAcentral. Lineage: Bacteria; Pseudomonadati; Pseudomonadota; Gammaproteobacteria; Vibrionales; Vibrionaceae.